GAUGAACGCUGGCGGCGUGCCUAAUACAUGCAAGUCGAGCGAACAGACGAGGAGCUUGCUCCUUUGACGUUAGCGGCGGACGGGUGAGUAACACGUGGGUAACCUACCUAUAAGACUGGGAUAACUUCGGGAAACCGGAGCUAAUACCGGAUAAUAUUUCGAACCGCAUGGUUCGAUAGUGAAAGAUGGCUUUGCUAUCACUUAUAGAUGGACCUGCGCCGUAUUAGCUAGUUGGUAAGGUAACGGCUUACCAAGGCAACGAUACGUAGCCGACCUGAGAGGGUGAUCGGCCACACUGGAACUGAGACACGGUCCAGACUCCUACGGGAGGCAGCAGUAGGGAAUCUUCCGCAAUGGGCGAAAGCCUGACGGAGCAACGCCGCGUGAGUGAUGAAGGUCUUCGGAUCGUAAAACUCUGUUAUUAGGGAAGAACAAACGUGUAAGUAACUAUGCACGUCUUGACGGUACCUAAUCAGAAAGCCACGGCUAACUACGUG
Molecule: ribosomal RNA, 497 nt
Filed under: uncultured bacterium
Lineage: Bacteria
Description: partial 16S ribosomal RNA
Rfam family: Bacterial small subunit ribosomal RNA
Source: RNAcentral